RNAcentral lists this ribosomal RNA (468 nucleotides) under uncultured bacterium. Its description in RNAcentral is "partial 16S ribosomal RNA". It matches the Rfam family "Bacterial small subunit ribosomal RNA", at positions 28 to 507 of the family's 1533-position model. The record is from RNAcentral.
GACGAACGCUGGCGGCGUGCUUAACACAUGCAAGUCGAACGGAAAGGCCCUGCUUUUGUGGGGUGCUCGAGUGGCGAACGGGUGAGUAACACGUGAGUAACCUGCCCUUGACUUUGGGAUAACUUCAGGAAACUGGGGCUAAUACCGGAUAGGAGCUCCUGCUGCAUGGUGGGGGUUGGAAAGUUUCGGCGGUUGGGGAUGGACUCGCGGCUUAUCAGCUUGUUGGUGGGGUAGUGGCUUACCAAGGCUUUGACGGGUAGCCGGCCUGAGAGGGUGACCGGCCACAUUGGGACUGAGAGACGGACCAGACUCCUACGGGAGGCAGCAGUGGGGAGUAUUGCACAAUGGGCGGAAGCCUGAUGCAGCAACGCCGCGUGCGGGAUGACGGCCUUCGGGUUGUAAACCGCUUUCGCCUGUGACGAAGCGUGAGUGACGGUAAUGGGUAAAGAAGCACCGGCUAACUACGUG